RNAcentral lists this microRNA (23 nucleotides) under Panagrellus redivivus. RNAcentral describes it as "prd-miR-7887-3p". Lineage: Eukaryota; Metazoa; Nematoda; Chromadorea; Rhabditida; Panagrolaimidae. The record is from miRBase by way of RNAcentral.
UACCCGUUCUCCGUCAUCCUUCC